UAUCAGUCGACAGGUGAAUCGAUCCCGAAAUAACGAUAUCUAAAUCGUGGAACUGACAACCUCCGGCAACGAAACUGUUCCAGUAAUAUUCCCCUGAUUUCUUUACGUAACACCAGUGCGUGUACACAUCGGAUCACAAUAUUUGGGAAACGACGAAAUGGAAAUGUUAUUUUGGAACAAGAAGCUAUUUCACGUAUCCAUUAUUCGCAUCCCAUAAUAGUCCGAGCGGAAACGGAGUCAACUUACAGCUGCACCAUAGCGAGACGCAAGAAUAAAUAAAAACAGGGAAAGAGAAAAUGGAAAGCGGAAGCGUGUUCGGAGGUGUAUCAAAGAGAGGAAGAAAAGGUUUCAUAGACGAAAAGAAUGAACACGGACUGCUCACUAACGAACGACAUUCUCGACGCUGUUGUACAAAGUGUGCAAGAUGAGCUAGCCUCGAGGCGGAGGAUCAAAGGUCCAAGCGUUAGUGGCUCUCUGCGAGCUGACAAUAUGUAGCGAUGCGAUGCUGAACCAGCGUUUGAGCAAAUUAGCCAAAGUCCUUGGCUGAUCCAGAACUCCGCAAGGAGUUUCGGAACCCGAAAUACCUCCGCUUCUUUAUUCUCGGUGCAGGCUGCAGUAUAAGCAUCCUACAGACCGUGAUCAGACCUUGCCGCAAGGACCUGACUGCACUCUAACCGGAAGGACCUUCGGCUUUGAUGUCCACCUUACAGGGAAUCAGCUCGCCUUCGAAAAUCGUAUCCUUCGAGAUUGAGACACCCGCAAUUCACAAUGACUCGAUGCAUCUGUUAAUUAUUACAGGCGAAGUAUCCUUCAGCUAUAAAUAAGACACCCAGAAGUCUCGCCGGCAACUUUGGUAUAAUCGAGUAACAACGAGUGAUUAGAAAUUCCUGAGAACGUUCGUCCGUCCAAAGACCUUGCUGAAUGCUUCUCGUCUACCGAAGCUUCCAGUCGGCGUUGAAUUCGUUGGUUAAAUGCCUCGGCUUUGGAAAGUGCCGAGAGUCGGUGGCGUCAUUCCAACGAUCCUGCAGAACCAGGUAUGCGAUCGUAUAACGGACGCCAGAGACGUAAAACGAGGUAAAAAUUUUCACUACAGCGAGGAUUCAACCAGCCAAAAACUAUGACGGUAAAAAUAAUUCCUACCCUGUAUAUGCGACAAAAAAACUCUGAACUGUAGCGGACCGAGUCCUCCUCAUGGUGCAUGAAGGUACGGCUACUUGUUCGGUUAAUUCUGCUCCAGCCCUUGGAGUCUUGCGGCAUACAUCGAGGUUCUUUUUUCCGCAGGGUACAAUCCAUUCGGCCAGGCAUCAUCCGGAAUAAACUUUCCAGGAUAGGCAGUCGGGCAGGCAGGCGGCCGGUACCAGCGCCGAGAAUCGUAUUCCUAAAGCUUCGCGGAUCCCCAAAGCUCGAAAAGGAGUCGGCCCGGGGUUCGCGGGAGUUCAAUGUAUCUGGACCUGGACCUGGACCGGGACCGGGACCUCGGCCCACCCCCGCAGCUUCGAGAAGAGGCUUUGCUCCGCUGCAGAAUCUCAACUUCCCGCGAUGCGCCCUGCAAGUGUGCCCCUCCGUUUCUCCGUCCCUCCGUCUCUUCGUGCUCCACGUUUGAUUCUUUCGGGUUAACUGACCUUUGCCGCUUAUGGAAGAUCGCGCACACACGCAAACACACACACGAGCGCAUGCUCCACCUUGUCCGUGCCGGAGACUGGCUGGCACAUUGCUGGAUUCAACGGUAGGAGGAAUAUUGUUUGUGGAUUUACCAUUUGUGAGAUUUUCCCCCUGAACGUACCGGGGAUUUUCGUAUUUUACAAUAAAAUUCAGCGUGUAACUAUUGCUGCAGGUAUUACCGACGGACCGCGAAUUCCCCUCGGCCUUCUCCCUUCGGCCCCAACUCUGUAUAUCUAUACCUCGGUUAUACCUACUUCUGUUUUUGGCGAUUCAAAUAUAAUUUUCCUUACUCUCGUAGGGAUUUGGAAGCGCUUUUGGCGCAGAGUUAGGAGUCGGGAUUCCGUGCGUGGGUUUCUCCCUGCUGGCUAUUCUAUUAUAUAUACAUCCUGCACCUUUGAACUCGGAAAAAGCCGCUUUUCACUUUUCGUCAUCCCAAAUCCCGUUUCGCUGUUCAACCGCUUCCUUCCUCUUCACCCUCGAUUGCACGCCACGGGUUUCGGAACCGCACAAAGAGUUUUUCCACCUUUCCACUAUA
This is a long non-coding RNA of Neodiprion fabricii, 2197 nucleotides long. RefSeq lists it as uncharacterized. The record is from RefSeq and is a predicted model, not a curated record. Lineage: Eukaryota; Metazoa; Arthropoda; Insecta; Hymenoptera; Diprionidae. The transcript is spliced from 3 exons.